ACUCCUACGGGAGGCAGCAGUGGGGAAUAUUGCACAAUGGGGGAAACCCUGAUGCAGCGACGCCGCGUGCGGGAUGAAGGCCUUCGGGUUGUAAACCGCUUUCAGCAGGGGCGAAUCAAGACGGUACCUGCAGAAGAAGCGCCGGCUAACUACGUGCCAGCAGCCGCGGUAAUACGUAGGGCGCGAGCGUUGUCCGGAAUUAUUGGGCGUAAAGAGCUCGUAGGCGGCCUGUUGCGUCCGCUGUGAAAUCCCGGGGCUUAACCCCGGGCGUGCAGUGGAUACGGGCAGGCUGGAGGCAGGCAGGGGAGAACGGAAUUCCCGGUGUAGCGGUGAAAUGCGCAGAUAUCGGGAGGAACACCGGUGGCGAAGGCGGUUCUCUGGGCCUGUACUGACGCUGAGGAGCGAAAGCGUGGGGAGCGAACAGGAUUAGAUACCCUGGUAGUCCACGCCGUAAACGUUGGGCGCUAGGUGUGGGUCCCUUCCACGGGGUCUGUGCCGCAGCUAACGCAUUAAGCGCCCCGCCUGGGGAGUACGGCCGCAAGGCUAAAACUCAAAGAAAUUGACGGGGGCCCGCACAAGCGGCGGAGCAUGUUGCUUAAUUCGACGCAACGCGAAGAACCUUACCAAGGUUUGACAUGGGCCGAAAACUCGCAGAGAUGCGGGGUCCUUCGGGGCGGUUCACAGGUGGUGCAUGGCUGUCGUCAGCUCGUGUCGUGAGAUGUUGGGUUAAGUCCCGCAACGAGCGCAACCCUCGUCCAAUGUUGCCAGCGGGUCAUGCCGGGGACUCAUUGGAGACUGCCGGGGUCAACUCGGA
Molecule: ribosomal RNA, 814 nt
Filed under: uncultured Actinomycetes bacterium
Lineage: Bacteria; Bacillati; Actinomycetota; Actinomycetes
Description: bacterial SSU rRNA
Rfam family: Bacterial small subunit ribosomal RNA
Source: RNAcentral